This 67-nucleotide transfer RNA is filed under the name Scarites subterraneus. RNAcentral describes it as "tRNA-Phe". Lineage: Eukaryota; Metazoa; Arthropoda; Insecta; Coleoptera; Carabidae. The record is from RNAcentral.
ACUUAAAUAGCUUAUGUUUAGAGCAUAAUAUUGAAGAUAUUAGGGAAAUUAAUGUAAUUUUUAAGUA